Long non-coding RNA from Balaenoptera acutorostrata (minke whale), 421 nucleotides. RefSeq lists it as uncharacterized. The transcript is spliced from 3 exons. The record is from RefSeq and is a predicted model, not a curated record. NCBI's taxonomy places the organism in Eukaryota, Metazoa, Chordata, Mammalia, Artiodactyla, Balaenopteridae.
CCUGGCUGAUGCUUGCAGGCUCUCUGGGUGCCCAUCUGGCUCAGACCUUGGGCCCAGCACUGUAAUAGACACAGGGGAAGGCCGGGUAAGAGACACAUCUUGAUGUUCCCGUCGCGGAGACUUGGAUGACCAUAAUGCAAGGCGAGGUUGGUUGGCAGAGGAAGCAAGCCCAGCCGGGAGCACAUGGUUGAGAAUCCGCCUGCCAAUGCAGAGGACACGGGUUCGAGCCCUGGUCUGGGAAGAUCCCACAUGCCGCAGAGCGGCUGGGUCCGUGAGCCACAAUUACUGAGCCUGCGCAUCUGGAACCUGUGCUCCACAACAAGAGAGGCCGCAAUAGUGAGAGGCCUGCGCACCGCGAUGAAGAGUGGCCCCCGCUUGCCACAACUAGAGAAAGCCCUCGCACAGAAACGAAGACCCAACA